AACUGAUAAUUAUUUCAGGUGGAAAUGUUAUCUUACACUUAUGCUGUGUUCCAUGGCUUUAUUCACUUUAACCAAGUGUUAUCCACAUUGAAUAUUUCACUUGCACAACAAUCUUUCUUUUGGCACCAAGAUGACAUUAAAAUCUAGGUCCCUGGUGCUCAAGAGAGGGAAAGUGACUGACAAGUUCCGCUUCUCUCUGGACGGCACCCAGAUUCCAUCAGUCACCGAGAAACCCAUCAAGAGCCUCGGAAAGACCUUUGAUUGCACCCUGAAGGACGCUGCAUCCAUCAAGGCCACAAAUCGGGAGCUGGAGGCGUGGCUGACAGCAGUGGACAAGUCGGGUCUGCCUGGUAAAUUCAAGGCCUGGAUUUACCAGCAUGGUGUUCUCCCCAGGAUUCUGUGGCCCCUGCUUGUGUACGAGUUCCCAAUAACAACAGUACAGGGCUUCGAGAGGAGGAUCAGCCGUUACUUCCGUAGAUGGCUGGGCCUGCCACGAAGCCUGAGUAGCAUCGCUCUAUACGGGCACAACAACAAACUGAAGCUCCCCUUUAGCAGCCUGAAUGAGGAGUUCAUGGUAACCCGUGCAAGAGAGGUGCUGCAGUACAGGGAAUCCAGUGAUCCAAAGGUCUCCCAGGCUGGCAUCGAAGUCAGGACUGGAAGGAAGUGGAGGGCGCAGGAAGCAGUCGAGCAGGCGGAGUCACGCUUGCGUCACAGCGUGCUGGUCGGCCCAGUGGCAUCUGGACGAGCAGGGCUUGGUAGCGUUGCAACCACACGCUACGACAAAGCCCUGGGCAAAGACAGACGCCGAUGGGUCCAAGAGGAAGUGAGAACUGGCGUGGAGGAACUGCGUGCUAGCCAGAUGGUGGGGAUGCGACAGCAAGGCGCAUGGACGAGAUGGGAACAGGCAGUGGACCGCAAGAUCUCCUGGUCUGAGCUUUGGCAAGCUGAGCCUUACCGGAUCAAGUUCCUGAUUGCGUCCGUCUAUGACGUCUUGCCCAGCCCAUCCAACCUCUUCUGCUGGGGCAAGGUUGACGCACCAUCAUGUCCUUUGUGCCUCAGAAGGGGAACGCUAGAGCACAUCCUCAGCUGUUGCUCCAAAGCCCUGGGAGAAGGACACUACACUUGGCGCCACGACCAGGUGCUGAAGGCGAUAGCAGAAACCAUCUUCACCAGCAUCACCCAGAACAAGCCUCUCCGACCAGCAAGGCAGGCGAUUGCUUUCAUUCGAGCAGGGGAGAAGCCUAAGCCCAAGCCAAGGGGGGCAGUGGGACUCCUUGGAACCGCACCGGACUGGCAGAUGAAGGCCGACCUGGGGAAGCAGCUCAGAUUCCCAGAGCAAAUCGUGGAAACCACCCUGAGACCAGACAUAGUUCUGUUCUCAGAUUCAACCAAACAGGUGGUCCUACUGGAGCUGACAGUUCCCUGGGAGGAGCGCAUGGAAGAGGCCAAUGAGAGGAAGCGUGCCAAGUAUGCCAACUUAGUGGAGGAGUGCCGCAGAAGGGGGUGGCGUGCCCGGUGUGUGCCAAUAGAGGUGGGCUGUAGAGGCUUUGCAGCGCGAUCUCUCUGCAAAGCAUACAGCAUGCUUGGAGUCACAGGUGCAUGUCAGAGAAAGGCCAUCAAGACCACCACAGAGGCAGCUGAGAAGGCCUCUAGAUGGCUGUGGAUCAAGAGGGGCGAUCCGUGGGUACAUGCUACUUAGACACAAGUUGGGACUUGAUCAAUCCCGGCUGGGUCGCCUGGUUGAGGGUGUAUGAUGUUGCGAGCCCCGAAACACCCAAUGACCCCAGGUUCCAUCACUGAUGAUGUGUCUAAGUGCAUCAAUAGAUGUAUAUUAAACUAGCCCUUGCAGUUGUGGAGAUAUACUCUAUUUACUUUGGGUACGUUCUUUUCUGAAAAAAGCUUUUCCCCUGAUAUCGAAAAUGGUAUAGAAUAUCGAUAUUUUUCCAGGUAUAGUAUCGAAGUUAGAAAAUCCAGU
RNAcentral lists this long non-coding RNA (1975 nucleotides) under Gadus morhua (Atlantic cod). RNAcentral describes it as "lncRNA (ENSGMOG00000027882.1)". The record is from RNAcentral. Lineage: Eukaryota; Metazoa; Chordata; Actinopteri; Gadiformes; Gadidae.